CAGAUAUACACCAAUACAAAAACCUCAGAAUAGAAACCUGAGAAAAUAAUCCUUCAGUAUGCAGAGAAAAACUGAUAGAAAACUAUGUUUAUUUGAAGAACAUCAGGUUUUUGUUAAUGAAGUCAUUAGAGAUGUAACACUGUGAUGGUGCUUUUGACUACUGGGGAGAUGGAACUAAGGUUACUGUUGUUCCAGGCGGCCCUGAUGUCCCUCCGACUUUGUCUAUUUUGAGUCCCCUGAAGGAUUCUCGCUACCCCCCGAAGACAGCAGAUGAACUUGGUCCAGAUGUCUGUCUGGUCACAGAUUUCCGUCCGAAGGGGGACGACGUAAAUCUGAAUGUGAAAGGUGGUCAGGUCAACGUCAGCACAGAUAAUGCUGUUCUGUCAAACAACACCUACGUGUUUGUUGCCUACAGCAAUGAAACCAUCCACUCCUGUGACAUGAACGGAAAGUUCAGCAACAACGAAGCUGAUUAUGCAUGUAGAAGCAUUUAUCCAGAAAAAGCCAAGCUGAACUUCUACCUGCUGCUGAUGAACGGAGUCCGGGUGGUUUUCACCAAAGCUCUGGCCUUCAGCACCGUCCUCACUAUCAGAGGUCUGCUCUUCUGAGGAUCAAAAAGAGACAGAUUUCAAAUCUGAGAUUCUUCCUCCAAGAUGUGUUUAUAUUUUGAUAAGAUUUAAAAAUCUUGCAGGCAAACCAACCAAUACAAAGAUAAAUAAAGGCCAAUUCAUGUAAUGAAUUUUUUCACCUCUGUACAGAAAUACAUUUUAUUUGGUUUAUGUAUAUUAUGCAAUUUGUCUCUGAAAAAAUAUAUGGUUCAAUCUUUGAAUUCAGUAAGUUUCAAUUUCAUAUUAAAAAUGUUUGUGUCUCAAUUUACGUAAUAAAAUUUAAUA
Long non-coding RNA from Cyprinodon tularosa, 893 nucleotides. RefSeq lists it as uncharacterized. The record is from RefSeq and is a predicted model, not a curated record. NCBI's taxonomy places the organism in Eukaryota, Metazoa, Chordata, Actinopteri, Cyprinodontiformes, Cyprinodontidae. The transcript has 5 exons.